AGGCAUCAUUCUGAAGGUGUCCUUUCUAUCAUGCGGUUGGCUGACUGCUGCCUGCUCUGUUACAGAGAGAGAGAACAUGAUCAGGAGGAGGAGCAGAGGGAGAAGCAGGCUCCCUGUUGAGCAGGGAGCCCAAAGUGGGGAUUGAUCCCAGGACCCUGGGAUCAUUACCUGAGCCAAUGAGAGAUGCAUACAUGACUGAGUCAC
RNAcentral lists this long non-coding RNA (204 nucleotides) under Mustela putorius furo (domestic ferret). RNAcentral's name for it is "lncRNA (ENSMPUG00000030448.1)". Lineage: Eukaryota; Metazoa; Chordata; Mammalia; Carnivora; Mustelidae. The record is from RNAcentral.